UCUGGACUUUAAAAGAUCUCAAAAUACAUUUGCGUUUGUGAAAAAAAAAAUGUAUUUUAACAACAUAAUGGCUGACAAUACCGUGAGUUGCAAAGAAUUCCUUUGAUGGUGAUCUACAAAGUCCUCAGCAGUCCUAGUAGGGAUGCAGGGCUUCCAACCCAUUAGUCUCUCUUUUAUUUCAUUUAUUCAUUUUAUUUAAAAGCUCCCCUUCCCAAAAUCCACAAAGGAAGAAUAGAAAGCAAGCAUUAGUGUUUUCCACUUCCUUCUCUCUCAUGUUGUUGUUAACAGUAAUUUACAGUUGCUCAGUUACAUUGAGACGGCUGUGAUCUUUCUACCUAAAGUAAUAAAAAACAGUAUGUUGGUCCUACUAAUUUACUGCAUGCCAUAAAGGCAAACAAUUUGUACUGUACUAAAGGAAUAUUGCCGAGGUAUUUACUAAAAAGUGUUUAAUAUUGAAAAAAAAUCCUUAUCUUAAAGAAUUUCCUUCCUUGUCUCCUUACUUGCAUGGGAAAAUUGUGGCAGCAUUAGACAUAUUAAUCAGCUGUAAUCUGUAAGGUAGUGUACUGUUAUGAAUAUGAAGGAGUGCAACUGAGAAAUGUGCACCUGUUUCUUUCCUUCUUUUACUUGGGUUGUGCCAUUUGGGCAUGUUUCUAUCAUAAGCAACUCAGAAAAUCUGAAUACUUAUGGAGUGAACUGAAAUUUUGCUAUCUCUUUCAGUAGGGCAUGAAUUUUUCUCACAUGUGGCUAAUUUUUCUUUUUUUUGGGGGGGUGCAAUUCAGAUUGGAAUAUGGUUCUUCAAGUUACAAGAAGCAUUGGGAUUUUCCUUAUAAAAAUCAUAUCCUAAAGAUGAUCCUAGAGGUCUUUUCCAACCUUAAUGACUCCAUGAGUCUAUGAUUCUACGACGAAAACAAAUAAUUUUGCAGGAAACAGUCAAAAUGAAGAAUGAAGACAACCUCUGCCUCGUAUCACCGUGUGAUAGGAUGUCUCAAAAAUGCAAAAGUCUGGGAGGCAUGAGACCCUGUGUGUACCUUCAGGAACCACACUUUGCAAAUUGUCAUCUCAUUUCUUCCAUUCAUCAUGUGGCUUCCUUAUGCAGAGCCCCAAAUCUCCUGAGCUUCCAUGCACCAGAGUGUGACCACAGCUGCCACCUCUUGGACUCGUAAGGGACAGAGCUACAAGAAUGCAGAGAAGUUAACCUCUUAUUUUUCUCCGACUACAGCUGAGAAUGAUUUCAAGAAAUCGCUAUUGAGAAAUGCAUCAACAUAUUGCUGAUGCCUUUGGCCUGGUGAGUGAUGAUCUAAUUUCUGUUUAAUUGACCUGCAGCCAAUUUAGUUUUCAAUCAAAAUUUGAAAUGUCUCUUGUUUCUUAUAACGACCAGCUCACUCUACUAAAU
Molecule: long non-coding RNA, 1393 nt
Filed under: Coturnix japonica (Japanese quail)
Lineage: Eukaryota; Metazoa; Chordata; Aves; Galliformes; Phasianidae
Description: lncRNA (ENSCJPG00005012547.1)
Source: RNAcentral